AUACGUAGGGGGCGAGCGUUGUCCGGAAUGAUUGGGCGUAAAGGGCGCGUAGGCGGCCCGGUAAGUCUGGAGUGAAAGUCCUGUUUUUAAGAUGGGAAUUGCUUUGGAUACUGUCGGGCUUGAGUGCAGGAGAGGUAAGUGGAAUUCCCAGUGUAGCGGUGAAAUGCGUAGAGAUUGGGAGGAACACCAGUGGCGAAGGCGACUUACUGGACUGUAACUGACGCUGAGGCGCGAAAGUGUGGGGAGCAAACAGGAUUAGAUACCCUGGUAGUCCACGCUGUAAACGAUGAAUGCUAGGUGUAGGGGGUAUCGACCCCUUCUGUGCCGCAGGCAACACAAUAAGCAUUCCGCCUGGGGAGUACGGCCGCAAGGUUGAAACUCAAAUGAAUUGACGGGG
This 397-nucleotide ribosomal RNA is filed under the name uncultured bacterium. Its description in RNAcentral is "partial 16S ribosomal RNA". It matches the Rfam family "Bacterial small subunit ribosomal RNA", at positions 523 to 918 of the family's 1533-position model. The record is from RNAcentral.